Choloepus didactylus (southern two-toed sloth) is the source of this 106-nucleotide small nuclear RNA. The record is from RefSeq and is a predicted model, not a curated record. NCBI's taxonomy places the organism in Eukaryota, Metazoa, Chordata, Mammalia, Pilosa, Megalonychidae.
GUGUUCACUUCAGCAGCACAUAUACUAAAAUUAGAAUGAUACAGAGAAAUUAGCAAAGCCCCUGUGCAAGGAUGACAUGAAAAUCUGCAAAAAGCUCCAUAACAAC